RNAcentral lists this non-coding RNA (24 nucleotides) under Cricetulus griseus (Chinese hamster). The record is from RNAcentral. Lineage: Eukaryota; Metazoa; Chordata; Mammalia; Rodentia; Cricetidae.
GCAAAGUGGGGAUUCUGUUUACUU